Molecule: ribosomal RNA, 254 nt
Filed under: uncultured bacterium
Lineage: Bacteria
Description: partial 16S ribosomal RNA
Rfam family: Bacterial small subunit ribosomal RNA
Source: RNAcentral
CACGUAGGGGGCAAGCGUUGUCCGGAAUCAUUGGGCGUAAAGAGCUCGUAGGCGGCUCAGUAAGUCGGGUGUGAAACCCUCAGGCUCAACCUGGGGACGCCACCCGAUACUGCUGUGGCUAGAGUCCAGUAGGGGAGUGUGGAAUUCCCGGUGUAGCGGUGAAAUGCGCAGAUAUCAGGAGGAACACCAAUUGCGAAGGCAGCUCGCUGGGACGUUACUGACGCUGAGACGCGAAAGCGUGGGGAGCAAACAGG